RNAcentral lists this ribosomal RNA (244 nucleotides) under uncultured bacterium. RNAcentral describes it as "partial 16S ribosomal RNA". It matches the Rfam family "Bacterial small subunit ribosomal RNA", at positions 90 to 334 of the family's 1533-position model. The record is from RNAcentral.
CCGGACCGGCGCACGGGUGAGUAACGCGUAUGCAACUUACCUAUCAGAGGGGAUAACCCGGCGAAAGUCGGACUAAUACCGCAUGAAGCAGGGGCCCCGCAUGGGGAUAUUUGCUAAAGAUUCAUCGCUGAUAGAUAGGCAUGCGUUCCAUUAGGCAGUUGGCGGGGUAACGGCCCACCAAACCGACGAUGGAUAGGGGUUCUGAGAGGAAGGUCCCCCACAUUGGUACUGAGACACGGACCAA